CGCGGGAUGGAGCAGCAUGCUAGCUCGUCGGGCUCAGCCCUUUAUAAACAACAGGCGAAGGUCGUUGGUUCAAAUCCAGCUCCCGCAACCA
This 91-nucleotide transfer RNA is filed under the name Shewanella xiamenensis. RNAcentral's name for it is "tRNA-OTHER". It matches the Rfam family "tRNA". Rfam says of the family: Transfer RNA (tRNA) molecules are approximately 80 nucleotides in length. Their secondary structure includes four short double-helical elements and three loops (D, anti-codon, and T loops). Further hydrogen bonds mediate the characteristic L-shaped molecular structure. tRNAs have two regions of fundamental functional importance: the anti-codon, which is responsible for specific mRNA codon recognition, and the 3' end, to which the tRNAs corresponding amino acid is attached (by aminoacyl-tRNA synthetases). tRNAs cope with the degeneracy of the genetic code in two manners: having more than one tRNA (with a specific anti-codon) for a particular amino acid; and 'wobble' base-pairing, i.e. permitting non-standard base-pairing at the 3rd anti-codon position. The record is from RNAcentral. Lineage: Bacteria; Pseudomonadati; Pseudomonadota; Gammaproteobacteria; Alteromonadales; Shewanellaceae.